GGUCGCUAAAACUGGAAUAUGGUUGUCUGGAUAAGACAAUAUGUAUGAUAUUGACAAUAACAUCCCUAUAUUAGCACAGACUCGGGAGCUAUAUUACGGCUGGAUACCAGGCUAGGUAGUAGCCGUUUUUCGUCGACAAUUUUCGGUAAUUUCCGGUCGCAUGACGUCAUGAUUUGCGAGCGAUUGAAUCAAGAUGGCUGACCCCGGGAGUUCGAAGACAAAGAGAAAGCGUUGCUUGGAACCCCGUCAUCUUUAGAUACCAGCCAAGAGACUGAAGAUUUAAGAGAAUCUAAGGCUCGUGGGCAGUUGGGCGUCAUCUUUGGUGAGUGGAGAAAGCUAAGAGAGCAGUUCGGACUGAAGAGGGAUCUCGACCUGACGCCCAAACUGUUAGACAGAAUGUCGGGAGGCAGUUCCAGGACUUACAGGAUACCAUGGAAGCCAAAAGCUGAGCUGGUUGGACGAGACGUCACAGACGUCACCAACGCAUUCGAUGAAUGGUGUCGACCGGAAAUAGUCCAAGCAGCUUCCGCUAUUUGACAAAGAUUGGCCACCACCUUCACCUGAAGCCGUGUGCUGUAAAGGUAAAGAAGA
Molecule: long non-coding RNA, 591 nt
Organism: Branchiostoma floridae (Florida lancelet)
Lineage: Eukaryota; Metazoa; Chordata; Leptocardii; Amphioxiformes; Branchiostomatidae
Exons: 3
Source: RefSeq, a predicted model, not a curated record